CGGCCUUCGGGUUGUAAACCUCUUUCAGUAGGGAAGAAGCGAAAGUGACGGUACCUGCAGAAGAAGCGCCGGCUAACUACGUGCCAGCAGCCGCGGUAAUACGUAGGGCGCAAGCGUUAUCCGGAAUUAUUGGGCGUAAAGAGCUCGUAGGCGGUUUGUCGCGUCUGCCGUGAAAGUCCGGGGCUCAACUCCGGAUCUGCGGUGGGUACGGGCAGACUAGAGUGAUGUAGGGGAGACUGGAAUUCCUGGUGUAGCGGUGAAAUGCGCAGAUAUCAGGAGGAACACCGAUGGCGAAGGCAGGUCUCUGGGCAUUAACUGACGCUGAGGAGCGAAAGCAUGGGGAGCGAACAGGAUUAGAUACCCUGGUAGUCCAUGCCGUAAACGUUGGGCACUAGGUGUGGGGGACAUUCCACGUUUUCCGCGCCGUAGCUAACGCAUUAAGUGCCCCGCCUGGGGAGUACGGCCGCAAGGCUAAAACUCAAAGGAAUUGACGGGGGCCCGCACAAGCGGCGGAGCAUGCGGAUUAAUUCGAUGCAACGCGAAGAACCUUACCAAGGCUUGACAUGGACCGGACCGCCGCAGAGAUGUGGUUUCCCCUUUGGGGCCGGUUCACAGGUGGUGCAUGGUUGUCGUCAGCUCGUGUCGUGAGAUGUUGGGUUAAGUCCCGCAACGAGCGCAACCCUCGUUCUAUGUUGCCAGCACGU
RNAcentral lists this ribosomal RNA (704 nucleotides) under uncultured Arthrobacter sp. RNAcentral describes it as "bacterial SSU rRNA". It matches the Rfam family "Bacterial small subunit ribosomal RNA", at positions 412 to 1126 of the family's 1533-position model. The record is from RNAcentral. Lineage: Bacteria; Bacillati; Actinomycetota; Actinomycetes; Micrococcales; Micrococcaceae.